GUCUGUCCUGCUCACUGAUUUAUUUAAAGAGCCGCGGUAUUAUGACCGUGCAAAGGUAGCAUAAUCAUUAGUCUUUUAAUUUGAGGCUGGAAUGAAUGGUUUGACGAGAAAUUAACUGUCUCUUAAUAAAUUCUAGAAUUUAACAUUUGAGUGAAAAGGCUUAAAUGUUUCUUUAGGACGAGAAGACCCUAUAGAGCUUAACAUUAAUUAAUUUAUAUUUUUUUUUGGUUUGUCUUUUGGUAUAAUUUAAUAAUGUUUGGUUGGGGUGACUUGAAGAAUAGAUAAACUCUUCAUUAUUAAAUCAUUAAUUUAUGUUUAUUUGAUCCGUAAUUUAUGAUUAAAAGAUUAAGUUACCUUAGGGAUAACAGCGUAAUUGUUUUUGAGAGCUCAUAUCGAUAAAAUAGAUUGCGACCUCGAUGUUGGAUUAAGAUUAAUUAUAGGUGUAGUUGCUUAUAAAUUAGGUCUGUUCGACCUUUAAAUUCUU
Molecule: ribosomal RNA, 484 nt
Filed under: Heteropternis obscurella
Lineage: Eukaryota; Metazoa; Arthropoda; Insecta; Orthoptera; Acrididae
Description: partial 16S ribosomal RNA
Rfam family: Bacterial large subunit ribosomal RNA
Source: RNAcentral